Molecule: long non-coding RNA, 432 nt
Organism: Ceratitis capitata (Mediterranean fruit fly)
Lineage: Eukaryota; Metazoa; Arthropoda; Insecta; Diptera; Tephritidae
Exons: 4
Source: RefSeq, a predicted model, not a curated record
AAUUUUCCGUCAUUUACUUUUUCAUUUGAAGACGCUAAGAGAUUGACUGAAUAAUUUUAGAACAGUAGCAGAACUCAAAUAGCGAAUAAACAACAAAUGUGGUCGAUUGAAUGUAUUCCAGUAUUCCAGGAAUUUAAACAGCAAAAUAAUAAUAGUAUAUGCGUACAUACAUAUAUUUAUAUACUUAUGUGCAAAGCAGAAGACUCGAUAGGGCCAUCACAUUAACGCAUCUGAACUGAUUGAUCAACAAUUCAUUCAAGAAACCCUUCAGCAGAUACCCAAAGUGAGCUUUGCAGCAAAUAUAAAGGCUCUAUAUGUGGUCAAAAUAUAAGUUUGUGUUGAGGUUGUAGCUACGGCCAGAGAUGUGUAAACCGAAUUGUAAUAAUGAGAAACAUUUGGCGGUAGCUUCAAAAGUGUGAAUAAAAGUGCUUG